UAAAAGAAGAGAAAAAACAUCAAUUAGAAAAUAGAAAAGAGCCCUCCCUGGUGAAUUCCUGCUUCUCCUCCAUGUCAUCAUAGGUGUUGAUGGUGCUUGCCUCUGGAUAAUGCUGACUUCCUCUAGAGUGGUCACCAAGGUGAAAUGUUGGUGCCAAAUGAACUUUUCUGGUUCUUCUGAAUAUGCCACUGUUGCUGGAGAAAUGUCACUGCUAGAGAACAGAAGACUAUUAUUCCAAAGGGUAUUUGAGACUGACUGAAUCAGGUCUGGAACAUUAUUGAAAUGAUCAUUUGCUCCAGAAGAAGCUGGUUGCCAUGUCUUGAGGACAGUAAACCCUCUGGGGAGGUUCCUGUGGUAAGGAACAAGGGCUCCUGGCAAUAGCCUCUGAGUGAGCCACCUUGAAAAUGGAUUGUCCAGCCCCAGUCAAGCUUUCAGAUGACUGUAGCUCCUGCCAAUGUCUUCACCACAACCUCAUGAGAUCCCAAGCUACAACCACUCAGUUAAGUUAUGCCAAAAUUCCUGAUUCACAGAAAUUGACAUACAGGAGAGGUCACAGUUAAGAUCUUGAUGUUCUAUCUUGACCCAUAAUAUAGGAACUUCAUCUUUUGGGAAGCACCAGGGAGAGCUGCCUGUGCCUGGCAGAAGCUGCCCAUGCCCCACUGAUACCCCACAGUACUUCCUGUUCUGCUUAGUACUCCUGCUUCUUUCUACAAACAACUGUGAUUCUCUACCUGGGAGCUUCCUCUGGCCACAGGAGCCUGCUCACCUGAUUGGGACACCCUAGCAGUACUGGCUCAUAGAUGGAAGGGACUUGCCUUGUCGCUGAUGAGACUUUCGACUUGGACUUUUGAGUCAAUGCUGGAAUGAGUUAAGACUUUGGGGAACUGUUGGAAGGGUGUGAUUGUGUUUUGAAUUGUGAGGACAUGAGAUUUUGAAGAGGCUAAUGGCAGCGUCCCCACCUAAAUCUCUUCUUGAAUUGUAGUUCCCAUAAUCCCCACGUGUCGUGGGGUGGAGCCGGUGGAGAUAAUUGAAUCAUGGGAACACUUUCCCCCAUGCUGUUAUUGUGAUUGUGAAUUCUCACGAGAUCUGAUGGUUGUAUAAACGCCUUCCCUCUUCGCUGGGCACUCAUUUUUCUCCUUCCUGCCACCAUGUGAAGAAGGAUAUGCUUGCUUCUUGUGCCAUGAUUACAAGAACACACUCAGAAAUUUUCUCAACACAGUUUCUAUGCAGAGAAGAGAUGUGGGACAGAUUUGAACUGCUGUCAUAUUUGUAUGAACCCAAGACAUUUUCCAAGACCAAGAGGGAUAAAGACAGCAAUUUCUAUGACUGGCAUUUUACGUGCAUGCACUGUUUCCAAGUGUUCUUGUGUUCUGUGCCUUAAACAUUCUGUGUUGCAACUUUAUGAAUUGAAUUAAAGAUAAUCCCAAGCCCCCAAUUGUCUCAAAAAGUGAAAAAGUAAAUGUUAUAGAAAGAAAAGCGGGAAAAACUUUAAGCAUGAAAUAAAAGAUGGGUUGUGAUAAAAGAGGACUGAAGAAGGAAAAGGAAUGAAAGGUUCUGCCAUCCUUCAUGGCAGCCCACUCCACUUGGUAUGAGAUACUGCUCCCUUGGCUGAAAGUUAACUGCUGUACUCCCUCCACUUUCUAUAAAUGACUCCCUGUGCCUUUCCUUCACCACACAACUCACACUCUCUUCCUUCCUAGUGAGUCCACUAAGGCUUCACUGCAUUAUUACAUUUAUUUCAUUUAGGAAAAACUGACUUUAUUUUCCUUCAAAUUGUUUUUUAUUGUUUAUAUGAGCUUGGUUUUAUUGUCAUUCUAUUUUUCUCCAUGAAAAUAGAGAAAAAUAGGGUCGAAAGGUUAGGUUGGGUGGAAAGGAAUUAUAUUUUUUCUCACUAAAAUUGAUGUAAAUAUCGUUUUCAAUUGAAUGAUUUUACACAGUGGCACAGUUUCAGGUAUGUUGCUAAGCAGGAAAGUUGUUAACCAAAGCAUGAAUGUAUUAAGGAGAUGUAUGCAGAAUGACAUGCAAGGUUAUCUAUGAUUGCUGAGUGAGAAAGAGCAAGUUGCUGAGUAUUAUAUAAGUAUGAUCUCACUUUUGUAAAAAAAAAAAAAAAAAAAGGCCUGGACUGAUCUGAAAUGACCCUAUUAAUAACAAUUAUGUCCAGGUCUGUAUUGCAUACUUGUCAUUCAUUACAGGAUCUUGAGACACAAUGCAAAGGAUCACAUCGCAGCUCUGUAACUUGUUAACUAUAAGAUUUUGAGUAACAUAACACCUUACUCCUUAAAAUUGCUUAAAAAAAAUCUGAACAUCAGGAAUAUUCUACUUCACAGGGUCGUUGUGAUAAUUAAAUGUAGUAAUCAAUGACAAUAGUGCCAGAUACAGUAGAUAGCCUACACUUUGCAGCUACUAUUUCUAUCUAUCAUCCAUCUAUUAAUAUAUAUCAUCUAUCUUUAACUUAUCAUCUAUCUUGUUCCAGUUUUUUAAAAUGAACAUGUAUUAACUUUGUAAAAAAUUAAGGCUAUAAGAUGUGCUGAGCUUUUGGAAUAGAUUUUCCUGUAC
RNAcentral lists this long non-coding RNA (2556 nucleotides) under Homo sapiens (human). RNAcentral's name for it is "STXBP5 antisense RNA 1". Lineage: Eukaryota; Metazoa; Chordata; Mammalia; Primates; Hominidae. The record is from RNAcentral.